GCGUAGGAAUAUACCUAGUAGUGGGGGAUAGCCCGGGGAAACUCGGAUUAAUACCGCAUAUGUCUUAUGAGAUAAAGAGGGCCUCUUCUUGAAAGCUCUUGCUAUUAGAUUAGCCUGCGUCGGAUUAGCUUGUUGGCGGGGUAAUGGCCCACCAAGGCGACGAUCCGUAGCUGGUCUGAGAGGAUGAUCAGCCACACUGGGACUGAGACACGGCCCAGACUCCUACGGGAGGCAGCAGUGGGGAAUAUUGGACAAUGGGCGCAAGCCUGAUCCAGCAAUACCUCGUGUGUGAAGAAGGCC
Molecule: ribosomal RNA, 300 nt
Filed under: uncultured Gammaproteobacteria bacterium
Lineage: Bacteria; Pseudomonadati; Pseudomonadota; Gammaproteobacteria
Description: bacterial SSU rRNA
Rfam family: Bacterial small subunit ribosomal RNA
Source: RNAcentral